Non-coding RNA from Strongylocentrotus purpuratus (purple sea urchin), 45 nucleotides. Lineage: Eukaryota; Metazoa; Echinodermata; Echinoidea; Camarodonta; Strongylocentrotidae. The record is from Rfam.
CCAAUAGUCCUUUUCAGGACUACACACACCCAAGAAAGAAAGAUU